Molecule: unclassified non-coding RNA, 171 nt
Filed under: uncultured Mycosphaerella
Lineage: Eukaryota; Fungi; Ascomycota; Dothideomycetes; Mycosphaerellales; Mycosphaerellaceae
Source: RNAcentral
CCGAGUUCCGAAGGACACGCGGUGGUCUAAAUAUGCCACUUCGUGCCCCGGCCUCCAACCCUUUGUGAACACAACUUGUUGCUUCGGGGGCGACCCUGCCGUUCGCGGCAUUCCCCCCGGAGGUCAUCAAAACACUGCAUUAUUACGUCGGAGUAAAAAGUUAAUUUAAUA